Molecule: long non-coding RNA, 2147 nt
Filed under: Arabidopsis thaliana (thale cress)
Lineage: Eukaryota; Viridiplantae; Streptophyta; Magnoliopsida; Brassicales; Brassicaceae
Description: long non-coding RNA (ATHA_LNC000234)
Source: RNAcentral
GAUUUCGUCCAUUGGAAAUAGCCUAUCUUUUUGUAGUCGAUAGUAUUAAACAUGUCAAACCAACCCGAGAAGUCGAUAACCUCAAACUGGAAGAGAUACCGCUUAAGAUGGCAAAAAAGCGAACCACAAACUCCAAAACGAAAUAGAUCUUAAUGAGAGAAAAGAACCAACCAUAGAACAUGAGCCCAAAGCUAAGGGCAAAAAGAAUCGAGUCCGUCUCAUCAUAAAGGAGAGAUUUUCCAGGAUAUUAAAUGACAAACACAACACCACGAUAAGCAAUUAAAUGGCCAAAACAGAAACUUCACUCAAACAAGACCCAUGCAAAAAUCCUACAAAAAGAAGAUUCCGAAAAAUCCUAACAACCCCAAGAAGAACCUGCAAACCAGAGCAACAAGUAAUCAUAUCAAGUAAUCAAGAUGUAUUUAUUAACUACUAGAGAAAAUAUUUGGGCUACGCCCGGGUAAUUUUGAUAAUUGAUAUAGUAUUUUAAAGUUAGAUAACAUAGUUUUUGUUUAAUAACAUUUCUUAUUUUUUAUAUGCUAAGAAAUAGUUUUGUUCUAUCCUGUGUUUUCUUAGAUCAUAUGGAAUAAUUUCAACUCUUAUGAGAUUGGUAUAUAGUUUGAUACCUAGCAUCGUAGGUAGGCGACUAUCAUAUUAUUUUAUAUAGUAAUAUUAAGCACAUUUUCGUAACUUUGUGGAAUAGUUUAGCAAAAGAAUAUUGAUCAGUAUGGUUUUCUACGUGAAAGAUUCAUAAUCUCAAACUGUUAAGUUCCAGCAGAAGUGGUGUAUAUGCCAUCAUGCUUUGAUGAUAAGAAUUAGAAGGUACGUGGUGAAGUUAUACGUCCGUUUAAUAUAUGCAUUUUUUGUUAAAAGUUAUGUCUGUUUAAUUAUGAUUGGUAACUAUAGCUUAAGAUUUGAAGUUUACUAAAAUCUGUGAAUGACAGCAAAAAUUUGUAAAUUAUUAUUGAAUGAUCAUUUAGUGUAAAUAUUUUGCUGGAUGGCCCUCUCUCUUCUCCGGACAACAUUUUUAUAUCUAUUUAAAACUUAAUUUUUAAGAAAGAGCUCAAUAUUAGAAGGACACAGUUGGGCAAAAAUUUAGAGUCAUAGCACAAAACUACUAAUACAAUGGCAAAGAGAAAGUGAAGAUAGGGCUAGAAAGUGAAAAUAUUGCUGGCCUUAUUGAUGCUUAUCUAAACUCAUAUAUUUUCUUUGUUUUCUUUUCCAUUCCUUUAAUUUUACCUCAUUACCUCAUAUAUUUGAACUAUAUAUUGUGUUUUCCAUUUUAAAAAGUAGAAGACAUGGGAAGAGAAGAAGAUAGAAGUUAGAUAGCUGGAUCUUCGAGUUUUCUUUCACCUGAUUUGGUAUCUAGGAAAAUGUUGUUCUCAAGAAGAUGGAAGAUUGUAACAGUUUGGUGAGAAGCCUGGAAUUUGGAUGAUGUAGAUGAUUCACCUCUCGAUAAUCACAUAUUCUACAUGUAGAAUGGCCAAAAGAUGAUUAUAUUAACUAUUAAGAAAACAUAUUGACCUUAACGUAUGUAGAUAUAUCUCUAAGAAAUUAUGUAAAUCAUGAGAAGUAACACUUACUUUGUCGAAGUCGUCGGAGAAACUUAAAACCAAUUAUAAUCUUUUUUCUUGGAAUCUCUUUCUUUUUUUCUGGUAAUAGACCAAGAUGUAGGUUCGCUUCAAGGAAAAAAUCAUCUUUAAAGGUUCGCUUCAAGGACGUCUUUUUCACACCAUACCCUCUACUUAUUUUGUCUUCUCCUCGUCUUGUAUAAACUCCACACUCAUCUUUGAUACUAUUGAUUUGGAUACCCUAGUUUACAGGAAAAGUUGAUUGUAAAAGGAAUACUAACUUUGACGCGCAAACACAAACCAAAAUAUCUUCAUUAUAGAAUAAUGGAACAAACUUGAUUGCAAAAGUUUAUUGAAAAAUAGAAUCUAUCAUUACAAAUUUGUUUACAGAAGGAUACGAAGAGAUCAGUUAGAUUUGGUUACGACUCUUCGAUUUUGGUAUGCCACAUGACUUUUGUUGAGAAUAAGAAAAUUAUGGUAGAAAAAUAAGAAAAUUAUGGUAGAAAUAACGAUUUUUUAUGUGUCCAAAUGAAAUGAAUCAAGUCUCUAUUUAUAGAGUUUAAAAAGUUAUAAACU